RNAcentral lists this transfer RNA (73 nucleotides) under Neoakkermansia glycaniphila. RNAcentral's name for it is "Akkermansia glycaniphila tRNA". It matches the Rfam family "tRNA". Rfam says of the family: Transfer RNA (tRNA) molecules are approximately 80 nucleotides in length. Their secondary structure includes four short double-helical elements and three loops (D, anti-codon, and T loops). Lineage: Bacteria; Pseudomonadati; Verrucomicrobiota; Verrucomicrobiia; Verrucomicrobiales; Akkermansiaceae. The record is from Rfam by way of RNAcentral.
GGGGGUGUAGCUCAGCGGUUAGAGCAGAGGACUCAUAAUCCUUUGGUCCAGGGUUCGAACCCCUGCGCCCCUA